This 491-nucleotide ribosomal RNA is filed under the name uncultured bacterium. RNAcentral's name for it is "bacterial SSU rRNA". It matches the Rfam family "Bacterial small subunit ribosomal RNA", at positions 341 to 847 of the family's 1533-position model. The record is from RNAcentral.
ACGGGAGGCAGCAGUGGGGAAUAUUGCACAAUGGGGGAAACCCUGAUGCAGCAACGCCGCGUGAAGGAAGACGGUUUUCGGAUUGUAAACUUCUGUUCUUAGUGAAGAAUAAUGACGGUAGCUAAGGAGCAAGCCACGGCUAACUACGUGCCAGCAGCCGCGGUAAUACGUAGGUGGCAAGCGUUGUCCGGAAUUACUGGGUGUAAAGGGAGCGUAGGCGGGAUGCCAAGUCAGCUGUGAAAACUAUGGGCUUAACCUGUAGACUGCAGUUGAAACUGGUAUUCUUGAGUGAAGUAGAGGUUGGCGGAAUUCCGAGUGUAGCGGUGAAAUGCGUAGAUAUUCGGAGGAACACCGGUGGCGAAGGCGGCCAACUGGGCUUUAACUGACGCUGAGGCUCGAAAGUGUGGGGAGCAAACAGGAUUAGAUACCCUGGUAGUCCACACUGUAAACGAUGAUAACUCAGGUGUGGGGGGUCUCACCCCUUCCGUGCC